This 244-nucleotide ribosomal RNA is filed under the name uncultured bacterium. RNAcentral's name for it is "partial 16S ribosomal RNA". It matches the Rfam family "Bacterial small subunit ribosomal RNA", at positions 533 to 776 of the family's 1533-position model. The record is from RNAcentral.
UGCAAGCGUUACUCGGAAUUACGGGGCGUAAAGCGUGCGUAGGUGGUUCGUUAAGUCUGCCGUGAAAGCCCCGGGCUCAACCUGGGAAUUGCGGUGGAUACUGGCGGACUAGAGUGCGGUAGAGGGUGGUGGAAUUCCCGGUGUAGCAGUGAAAUGCGUAGAGAUCGGGAGGAACAUCUGUGGCGAAGGCGGCCACCUGGACCAGCACUGACACUGAGGCACGAAAGCGUGGGGAGCAAACAGG